UACGUAGGUGACAAGCGUUGUCCGGAUUUACUGGGCGUAAAGAGCGCGCAGGCGGUCGUUCAAGUCGAGUGUGAAAGCCCCCGGCUCAACUGGGGAGGGUCAUUCGAUACUGAUCGACUCGAAGGCAGGAGAGGGUAGUGGAAUUCCCGGUGUAGUGGUGAAAUGCAUAGAUAUCGGGAGGAACACCAGUGGCGAAGGCGACUACCUGGCCUGUUCUUGACGCUGAGGCGCGAAAGCUAGGGGAGCAAACGGG
This 253-nucleotide ribosomal RNA is filed under the name uncultured bacterium. Its description in RNAcentral is "partial 16S ribosomal RNA". It matches the Rfam family "Bacterial small subunit ribosomal RNA", at positions 524 to 776 of the family's 1533-position model. The record is from RNAcentral.